GAUGAACGCUGGCGGCGUGCCUAAUACAUGCAAGUCGAACGCUGGAAAUCUAGCUUGCUAGAUUGAAGGAGUGGCGAACGGGUGAGUAAUACAUAAGCAACCUACCCACGAAGACUGGGAUAAUCUCUGGAAACGGGGACUAAUACCGGAUAGGUAAUCGGAAGGCAUCUUCUGAUUAUUAAAGGUUAAAAACUCUGGUGGAUGGGCUUAUGGCGCAUUAGUUAGUUGGUGAGGUAACUGCCCACCAAGACGAUGAUGCGUAGCCGGCCUGAGAGGGUGAACGGCCACAUUGGGACUGAGACACGGCCCAGACUCCUACGGGAGGCAGCAGUAGGGAAGUUUCGGCAAUGGGGGAAACCCUGACCGAGCAACGCCGCGUGAGUGAUGACGGCCUUCGGGUUGUAAAGCUCUGUUGUAAGGGAAGAACGGUAGAUAGAGAAUAUCUAAAUGACGGUACCUUACCAGAAAGCCACGGCUAACUACGUG
This 486-nucleotide ribosomal RNA is filed under the name uncultured bacterium. RNAcentral describes it as "partial 16S ribosomal RNA". It matches the Rfam family "Bacterial small subunit ribosomal RNA", at positions 28 to 507 of the family's 1533-position model. The record is from RNAcentral.